This 234-nucleotide unclassified non-coding RNA is filed under the name uncultured fungus. RNAcentral's name for it is "sequence contains ITS1". Lineage: Eukaryota; Fungi. The record is from RNAcentral.
GUAUUGUAUUGCGUUAAACGCGGUAUGCAUUCCAUGAGACUUUACUACUGUGUGUGUGUGUGUAAAUACAUAGAACCACGGCAGGGGACAGAGCCCCCAGGCUGCAGAACUAUGGAGGGUGCACAGGUGUGAGUGGAUGUGUAAACAGAGCGUGCACGUGUCCCCACUUGAGGACCAGCAACAACUCGUGUUGACAAUUCGGUAAUGAUCCUUCCGCAGGUUCACCUACGGAAA